GUUCAAUUAUAAGAAAGGCAAUUUGAAGGCUUUAAAUACAAUGUUAUAUAAUUAACUCACUCUAUGGUUAGCCACAAAUUGUGUCCAAGAUGACGUCUCAACAAAAUGUUCCUGGUGAUCGUAAUGACCUUGCAGUUUUCCUGUAACGGAUACGUGAGAGAGAGGGAAAGGUAGCGAUGAUACGAUGUUUUAACGUUCUUAUAAGGUUAAAGAUGAAUAAUCCUCCUAGACUGGAACACAUAAACUGAUUAAGAAUAUAAUCAAACUAAAUACAUAAAUUGAGGAACGGCGUAACAGAAUACUCCCCGUCUGAUGUCUAUCUGAUAUCACUAUUCCAUAACUAAAUCGCAUAUGAAUAUAUGAAAUAAAUAAAUCCAAACAUUAAUUGAUUAUGUACAAGAGUAAUGUCCACUAUUGGUCGUAUGAGAAAUAUCAACUUACGACCUUUCAAUAUAAAGUUUCCAGAAUAGAUUAAUUCCACGGGAAACUUGGUUCGGCACAGUCACUUGUCCUUAGAGAUAGUAGGAACUGUUUUCUCCAACGUUGUUAGACGGCGACGACGGUUGAAGGUGGUCCUCCGGUGGGUAUGACGAGAGCUAAUACUUGAUCCUCUUUCGGUUUGCCGAAAUGUCACAUCUUUUUGAGUAUUAGACGAAAUUAAGCGUUUCGUCCUAACGUUCCAUCCUGCUGAUUCAUUUGUUCUAUCUGUGAAGUGGGGUCCUCUAUGUUCGAGAUGGUCCUAGGCGUUGUUCAAGGACGUGGUGUGCCUCUAUAAGGUCUCUUCCAAUUAGGAGUAGAAUUUGACAACAUUCCUCUAGUGGUUGAAUGCUUCCUCUGAGUUCUGUCAGAUGAGGAUGAUGCAUUGCAACUUCAGGAGUAGGAAUUUCGUCUCGAUUAUUGGGAAUAUUAUUACAUUCAAUUAAUGUAGGCAUAUCAAAUUGUACGUCACUAUGUACAGAUUUUAUGACGAAAUCUUUUCCUCUUUUCCCGGAAGUAGCUACUCUGCCGGAGCAUGUUGUAAGAGAGUAGUUUUCAGGUUUUUCCCAAACGUUGAAAAGACUGAAGAAUUCGGGCGAGGCAAGAGACCGGUUGCUUUGGUCGUCAAUAAUGGCGUACAUCCUGAUAAUUUUAUCUGUCUUGUCCUUGUGGUACACGUCCACAGGUAAUAUCUUGGCAUAAGAUUUCUCGCUCUUAUGAUCUUUGUAGAUCUCUGUGCAGAUCGAACUUACAGAGGUUAACUUUGUUUCAGCGGACUCUGUCUGCUCCCCGCCGUAGACUUGUGUUAGCUCCCCGCCGUAGGCUUGUCUGGGCGAGCUAAACUGGGAACUUUCAGAUUGUUGUGGUCUAGUGAUGUGAAGUGCUGUGGUAUGUCGUUCACUUCCACAUUCGUUACAACUGAUACUUGCGUUGCAGUCCCGACUUCUGUGUGUGGUUGACUCACAACACUUGUAGCACACAUUGUUUUGUCUUAACAGUUCCUUGCGUUCCUCGAUUGGUUUGGCUCGGAAUGCUCGGCAUUCAUUCAAGGUAUGCUUUGUCUUGUGUAGGAUACACAGAUCUUGUUGUUGACUGCUGUCUUCAGUUUGCUGUUCAACAGCCGUCUUAUGGACGUUGACUUUAGAGUACGUCUGAGAUGUGAAGCUUGGCGUAUAGAGUCUUUUGUAUUUGGUGUUACUUUUGAGCCAAAGAUGAACCCAGGAUCGUUCUUAAUUUUGCUAAUUUCCCUGAUGAAGGCAGAGAAUUCUGUGAAAGGUGGAAAGGCAACUUCAUAUUUAGACUUGUAUCUUGAAGCCCUUGUAAUCCACUUUUCUUGGAGUCCGUAUGGCAGUUUUUCCACAAUAGGAUUUAUCCCGGACGAAGAAUCGAAAUAAGCAAGCAAACAUCCCAGCUUGGGAUUUUCCUUGUGAUAUUCAAUUUCUGAUAGAAUAUCAGACAAGUCAUAAAGACGUGCGUUAUCUUUGUUCGUCAAGGUAGGGAAGUUGACGAGUUUACUUGUGAGAGAGGCCUCCAACAUUUCUGGAGCACCAUAUCGCUCAUCCAAUCUCUGCCAUAAACCUCUGUAGGCUCUUGUUGGGUUGUUGGCAUUUGAUGCCCUUAUACUCAUGGCAUGUUUAGUAGACUCUGGACCGAGCCACUUGAUCAGUAAGUCGAUCUGUUCUGAGUCAGAGACUUGUAACUCAUCAGUCACGUUCUUGAAGCUCGCUUUCCAAGUAUGGAAGGAUUCUGCCCGAUCGUUAAAGCUUGUUAAUCAGGAGAAAAGCAGGUCCUUACGUAAGAGAAACCUAGUUAUCUCCGAUAUAGGGUUGAUUUGUUGCUGGUGUGCAACAGGGGUCUCUUCUUUAACACCUUGAUUUUGGUGUAAGACAGGGAUCUCUUCUAUAACGUCUUGUUUUGUGCGUAAGACAGGAAUCGCUUCUUUAACACCCUGUUUUUGGUGUUCAGUAGGGCUCUCAUCUGAAAGGCCUAGUUUUUGUAUGCCGGUUACUAAUCCCAGAUCUGGGAUAAGGUAACUUCCGGUGACUUAGUAUCGGAAGGCAAGACAGCAGAUGUCUGUGACAGCAAGUUCAGUGCCACGGAUGGCACGAACGCUGGUGCUUCGUGACUCAGCUCGAUCUUAACAGGAAUUUGUUUUUUCUUUUGAGGUCCUGUUACUUCCUUUACAACAGUUGAUACAGAAGUGUAUUGACGAACUCUUGUACACGCUGGAGCGGGUCUUCCUUUUCGUCAGGGAGAUCGUUAAACGCUUGGCUAUCAUCGUAUUCCAUGAUACGAGCCUCGGCUUCUGCGGCUGCAGCUUCUCUCUGUGCUUCAAGAAGGUUACAUUUGGCUUUAAGCUCGGCCCUUUCCCGGCUUACUCGUGUGGCUUCCUGUUCCAUUUCAGCCUUUUUGCGUGCUGCAUGUGCUGCAUAUGUUCCAUUUCAAUUUGUCUGAACAUGGCUUGUUCCUCUAACAUUGCUUCCUGUUGUAGGAUAAGGGCAUGUUUUUCUACAAAGGCUAUUUUAGACUUGUCAGCCUCUGCCUUGGCACACUUUCUCCGUGCUAGGCUUGACAUGUUAGAGCUACCACUGCGGGAGGUUUUCUUACCCCUUGAGGUCUUUGUUUUAGUUUAUUUGGCCUUUGUUAGGGCGAGGCGAUGCUCGUGUAGUUUUUCCAUAACCAGUUCCACUUUGGACAGACGAAAAUCCAAAGAGAGUUUACAUGCAUCAAUUUCUUUUUGACUCUCCAAUGUUCUGGUCCUUUUCAGAAAGUCUAGGUAUUCAUCUGUGAGCCUACGAUAAUUAUUACAGGCUUUAACAAGUUUUGUCCUGGACUGUUAGGAGUUGCUGGAGCUCGUUAGGAGGCGUUGUGACUUCCAAUAACUGGGAUUCAAUGUCUGUCCAGAGAGCCUCUUGUUCCUGACAGAACUUGUCACGUUUUUCAGUGAAAGCUCCUUUUCCUUUUUCCGUGAGGUCACGUACUCGCCUAGCCUCGGGAUUUUCAUCUGACUGUUGUAUUAGACGGAUUUUGUAAUAGUUCUAAAUCUGGGAAAUUUCCCUCUGGGGAAUGUAUCUCUCCUUGUUGUUCCACAUGACUGGGAUCCAUGUUGACUCAACGUUGUUGGGUUUCUGCCUUGUACACACAAGUUAUGUAGUCCACUAUCAGUGUAAAGGUUUGAACGUUGUUACGUUGUCGUUCCUUGUCUGGAUAUGUAAAGACAGGUUGUCGUCAAUUUACUGUACGUCAAGGGAUGACGCAUACAUGCAGGGCUCAGCAGGUAGGUUGUUAUGUAGCUGUAUAACUAACGUGGAGUGGCGUUAUCUGUGAGACACAACAGGCAAGUUGUAGAAGUUUAACCGACGAUUGGGCUCAAGCAACAAGACUAUCAGGUGCUGAUAAUUUUAUCUCAAACCAAUCUAACAAAUGGUAAAAAGCUGAAAAACAAAUAAAAUACAAUUUUACAAUGUGUUGAAUUAAUGUUUCUAGUGUAUAAAAUGUCCAAAAUAAUUGAUAGCACAGUCCGUUGAAUCCGAUAAAUGUUGUACUUUCCAGAACGGUUAAGUUUCCAAUAUUUCACGGAGAAAAGGUUCAAUUAUACGAAAGGCAAUUUGAAGGCUUUAAAUACAAUGUUAUAUAAUUAACUCACUCUGUGGUUAGCCACAAAUUGUGUCCAAGAUGACGUCUCAACAAAAUGUUCCUGGUGAUCGUAAUGUCCUUGCAGUUUUCCUGUAACGGAUACGUGAGAGAGAGUGAAAGGUAGCGAUGAUACGAUGUUUUAACGAUCUUAUAAGGUUAAAGAUGAAUAAUCCUCCUAGACUGGAAC
RNAcentral lists this long non-coding RNA (4300 nucleotides) under Mytilus galloprovincialis (Mediterranean mussel). The record is from RNAcentral. Lineage: Eukaryota; Metazoa; Mollusca; Bivalvia; Mytilida; Mytilidae.